RNAcentral lists this transfer RNA (64 nucleotides) under Adelphocoris lineolatus. RNAcentral's name for it is "tRNA-Ala". Lineage: Eukaryota; Metazoa; Arthropoda; Insecta; Hemiptera; Miridae. RNAcentral also lists the same sequence under 1 other name. The record is from RNAcentral.
GGGGUUAUAGUUUUAUAAAAAUAUAUAAUUUGCAAUUAUAAGAAAUCAAAAAAGAUUAUCCUCA